GUCGAACGCGAAAGUCCCCUUCGGGGGGCAAGUAGAGUGGCGCACGGGUGAGUAACACGUAGGUAAUCUACCUUUGGAUGGGGAAUAACAACCGGAAACGGUUGCUAAUACCGCAUAAUGCAGCGGCACCUAAUGGUGACAGUUGUUAAAGCGGGGGAUCGAAAGACCUCGCGUCUAAAGAGGAGCCUGCGGCGGAUUAGCUAGUUGGUAAGGUAAUGGCUUACCAAGGCUACGAUCCGUAACCGGCCUGAGAGGGCGGUCGGUCACACUGACACUGACAUACGGGUCAGACUCCUACGGGAGGCAGCAGUCGGGAAUUUUGGGCAAUGGGCGAAAGCCUGACCCAGCAACGCCGCGUGAAGGAUGAAAUCCCUCGGGAUGUAAACUUCGCAAGAACGGGAAGAAUAAGUAGGGGACAAUACCCCCUAUGAUGACGGUACCGUUUGUAAGCUCCGGCUAACUCCGUGCCAGCAGCCGCGGUAAUACGGGGGGAGCAAGCGUUGUUCGGAUUUACUGGGCGUAAGGGCGCGUAGGCGGUCAGCACAAGUCAAUUGUGAAAUCUCCGAGCUUAACUCGGAAAGGUCAACUGAAACUGUGCGACUAGAGUGCAGAAGGGGCAACUGGAAUUCUUGGUGUAGCGGUGAAAUGCGUAGAUAUCAAGAGGAACACCUGCG
RNAcentral lists this ribosomal RNA (674 nucleotides) under uncultured bacterium. RNAcentral's name for it is "bacterial SSU rRNA". It matches the Rfam family "Bacterial small subunit ribosomal RNA", at positions 61 to 714 of the family's 1533-position model. The record is from RNAcentral.